Molecule: small RNA, 66 nt
Filed under: Vibrio cholerae O1 biovar El Tor str. N16961
Lineage: Bacteria; Pseudomonadati; Pseudomonadota; Gammaproteobacteria; Vibrionales; Vibrionaceae
Source: RNAcentral
UUCUUUAAGCGGCGGAGGCGUUUCAGGCACCUCCCCUGUUGAUGAACUCGACUCGCGAGUCACCCA